Molecule: ribosomal RNA, 1032 nt
Filed under: Amolops sinensis
Lineage: Eukaryota; Metazoa; Chordata; Amphibia; Anura; Ranidae
Description: partial 16S ribosomal RNA
Rfam family: Bacterial large subunit ribosomal RNA
Source: RNAcentral
UAGCUCUACCUUAGUUUUCUUAUUACACCAAACAAAAUACUAGACUUAAGAGCUAUUCAAAUAAGGUACAGCUUAUUUGAAAAAGGCUACAACCUACAAUACUGGGUUAAUAUUGAUUUUAUCAACAAAGUGGGCCUAAGAGCAGCCAUCUUAUAGAAAGCGUUAAAGCUCAACUAUCUCCUCUCCUAAAUUCCAAAAAUUAUCUUCAACCCUUCAUUAUUACUGAACUAUUUUAUAUAUUUAUAAAAGUUAUCAUGCUAGAACUAGUAACAAGAAUUAGCCCUUCUCCAAAAUGUAUACUUAAGCCAAAAUGGACACCCCAUUGGCAGUUACCGCAAAUGCACCUAUUAUAGUACCUCCCAACUAGACAACUCUAUAACUCUUAGCGUUAACCUGACACCAGAGCAUUACAGGAAAGAUUAAAAGAGAAAGAAGGAACUCGGCAAAUCUCGGUCCCGCCUGUUUACCAAAAACAUCGCCUCUUGACCAAAUAUAAGAGGUCCAGCCUGCCCACUGACAUAGUUUAACGGCCGCGGUACCCUAACCGUGCGAAGGUAGCAUAAUCACUUGUUCUUUAAAUAAGGACUCGUAUCAACGGCAUCACGAGGACUAUACUGUCUCCUUUCUCCAAUCAGUGAAACUGAUCUCCCCGUGAAGAAGCGGGGAUUAACCUAUAAGACGAGAAGACCCCAUGGAGCUUAAAGCCCACAAACACCUCUACGCACUUAAACCAAUUUAGCCUAAGAGACCUGUAAGCCGGCUUUAGGUUGGGGGGACCGCGGAGAAAAACCUAACCUCCACGACAAACGGGCAAACGCCCUUAUCCAUGAAUUACAAUUCUAAGAAUCAAUAAACUGAUGUUUAAUGACCCGAUUAUUCGAUCAACGAACCAAGUUACCCUGGGGAUAACAGCGCAAUCUACUUUAAGAGCUCAUAUCGACAAGUAGGUUUACGACCUCGAUGUUGGAUCAGGGUAUCCCAGUGGUGUAGCCGCUACUAAAGGUUCGUUUGUUCAACGAUUAAAACCCUACG